UACGUAGGCAGCGAGCGUUGUUCGGAAUUACUGGGCGUAAAGGGCGCGUAGGCGGUCAGCACAAGUCAGUUGUGAAAUCUCCGGGCUUAACUCGGAAAGGUCAACUGAUACUGUGCGACUAGAGUGCGGAAGGGGCAACUGGAAUUCUUGGUGUAGCGGUGAAAUGCGUAGAUAUCAAGAGGAACACCUGCGGCGAAGGCGGGUUGCUGGGCCGACACUGACGCUGAGGCGCGAAAGCCAGGGGAGCGAACGGG
This 254-nucleotide ribosomal RNA is filed under the name uncultured bacterium. Its description in RNAcentral is "partial 16S ribosomal RNA". It matches the Rfam family "Bacterial small subunit ribosomal RNA", at positions 524 to 776 of the family's 1533-position model. The record is from RNAcentral.